This is a long non-coding RNA of Gasterosteus aculeatus aculeatus (three-spined stickleback), 306 nucleotides long. Lineage: Eukaryota; Metazoa; Chordata; Actinopteri; Perciformes; Gasterosteidae. The record is from Ensembl.
GAUCUGCAGGCAGCUUUGGUGAAGAAAAGGUGCGCGUGAAGAGCAGUGAAACUGACCGACAGGUGGACAGUCAUCCCGACGUGAGAGGAUCCUCUCCACCCGUCCUCCCUGGCGCUCUCUCUCUCUCUCUCUCUCAGAAUGGAAAUGUGAGACGCAGUGAGACGAGGCCGGUGACUACGUUACUCCAACGGGCCAAUCAGAGCGUGGCACAUCUGGAGGAAUCUGUCUGCAGGCCCAGCUGGAAGCACUACAGGAGACAGCAGAGGAGAGGAGAGGAGGAACAUGUGAGAUUCAAGAUGGCUGAGG